AUUGAACGCUGGCGGCAUGCUUUACACAUGCAAGUCGAACGGCAGCGCGGGCUUCGGCCUGGCGGCGAGUGGCGAACGGGUGAGUAAUACAUCGGAACGUGCCCAGUAGUGGGGGAUAGCUCGGCGAAAGCCGGAUUAAUACCGCAUACGACCUGAGGGUGAAAGCGGGGGAUCUCCGGACCUCGCGCUAUUGGAGCGGCCGAUGGCAGAUUAGCUAGUUGGUGGGGUAAAGGCCUACCAAGGCGACGAUCUGUAGCUGGUCUGAGAGGACGACCAGCCACACUGGGACUGAGACACGGCCCAGACUCCUACGGGAGGCAGCAGUGGGGAAUUUUGGACAAUGGGCGAAAGCCUGAUCCAGCAAUGCCGCGUGUGUGAUGAAGGCCUUCGGGUUGUAAAGCACUUUUGGCGGGAACGAAAAGGACUGUGCCAAUACCACGGUUCGAUGACGGUACCCGCAGAAUAAGCACCGGCUAACUACGUG
RNAcentral lists this ribosomal RNA (484 nucleotides) under uncultured bacterium. Its description in RNAcentral is "partial 16S ribosomal RNA". It matches the Rfam family "Bacterial small subunit ribosomal RNA", at positions 29 to 507 of the family's 1533-position model. The record is from RNAcentral.